RNAcentral lists this ribosomal RNA (292 nucleotides) under uncultured Planctomycetota bacterium. RNAcentral's name for it is "uncultured planctomycete partial 16S ribosomal RNA". The record is from RNAcentral. Lineage: Bacteria; Pseudomonadati; Planctomycetota.
GGACUACUGGGGUUUCUAAUCCCGUUUGCUCCCCUGGCUUUCGCGCAUCAGCGUCAGAAAAGGUCCAGCACCUCGCCUUCGCCACCGGAGUUCCGCUGGAUAUCAACGCAUUUCACCGCUCCACCCAGCGUUCCAGAUGCCCCUACCUUCCUCUAGACCGGCAGUAUCCAUGGCACUUCUCCAGUUAAGCUGGAGGCUUUCACCACAGACUAUCCGGCCCGCCUACGCGCCCUUUAAGCCCAGUGAUUCCGAACAACGUUCGCACGGUUCGUCUUACCGCGGCUGCUGGCAC